This 281-nucleotide long non-coding RNA is filed under the name Fukomys damarensis (Damara mole-rat). RNAcentral describes it as "lncRNA (ENSFDAG00000025462.1)". Lineage: Eukaryota; Metazoa; Chordata; Mammalia; Rodentia; Bathyergidae. The record is from RNAcentral.
GUCUGGACCACCACCCGAGGUCAGAGGAGAGCUUCCCAGAGAGGAGGACCAGAGUCAAUUCCGACCCAAGCGGCAUAUCCCCGAACACUGGGCCUGCGCAGCCGCUCAGCACAGCUUCCUGUUUAAUGACGACACUGUCUGGCGGCCUCACUUCGCCCUCCCUGCUCCCUGAAGAAAAGAGCUCUUUCCCAUCUCCAUCUCAAUUCGCCUGCACAGCAGCAUCAACAGAACAGCAGAACAGACCACCAGAGGAUCAAUUAUUGUAGCAGAUAGGAGACAAC